RNAcentral lists this ribosomal RNA (265 nucleotides) under uncultured bacterium. Its description in RNAcentral is "partial 16S ribosomal RNA". It matches the Rfam family "Bacterial small subunit ribosomal RNA", at positions 793 to 1055 of the family's 1533-position model. The record is from RNAcentral.
GUCCUAGCCGUAAACGAUGAACACUAGGCGUAGUCGGUAUCGACCCCGGCUGUGCCGUAGCCAACGCAUUAAGUGUUCCGCCUGGGGAGUACGGCCGCAAGGCUAAAACUCAAAGGAAUUGACGGGGGCCCGCACAAGCAGCGGAGCGUGUGGUUUAAUUCGUCGCAACGCGAAGAACCUUACCAGGGCUUGACAUGCACCGGAAAACGGCGGAAACGUCGUCCUCCCGCAAGGGAUCGGUGUGCAGGUGUUGCAUGGCUGUCGU